RNAcentral lists this long non-coding RNA (772 nucleotides) under Homo sapiens (human). RNAcentral describes it as "non-protein coding lnc-RNF169-2:1". The record is from RNAcentral. Lineage: Eukaryota; Metazoa; Chordata; Mammalia; Primates; Hominidae.
GGGAAUACAGUGGUUUUGGGUGAUCCCAGAGGAAGCCCCAACCUAGCCAAGAAGCUCCCUUGGAGGAAUGCCUUAGCCUGAGCUAAGUCUUGAAGAGCCAGGAGAGCCAUCCCUACGGAGCAAUGGGGAGAGGUGUGGACUGCAAGUGAUGAGAAAGAAUGAUUGUUUCAGACAAGGAACAGCACGAGCAAAGGCGCAGAGUGCUCUUCCCAAAGCAAGGAAAGGAGAAGGCAAUGCUGAACCUAAUGGAGAGAUUCCAGGCACUGUGGAGUGAGCAGCUCUACAGCCAGAGAGCUAACAUCCCAGGACAAUCAUGCGGCCUGAAAUCUAAGGAAAUACUGGCACCUCCAAGGAGAGAUGGGACACAGACACUGGCCUGCCUGUGGCAGAAUGUGGCAGAUGCAAGUGCCACACAAGCACUUAAGAAGAAAUCAGGUGAUAAGUUGCAAAAGGGCAGAGAGGCCAAGUCUCUUUCCACAGCUGUAUAUCUAGUGCCUACCACAGAGCCUGGCACAUGCCCAGGAGGAAAAGACCACAAAGAGAGAAGAUGCCAAGCCAUACCAGCUGUGUACCUGAGCCCAGCCUGCAGCUACCCUGCCAGCUAAAUGCAGCUGUAUAAGUGAGCCUUGGUGGAGCCAGUGGAAUCACUUCGUCGACUCAAUUGUCCUUGAUUUCCUCAGCCAUGAGACAACAAACCUCGGGUAUCACCCCCAACAAUGAGGCCACUUCAUUGUGGGGCCCAUCUGGGAUCCAAGGUAGAUUCAUCAGAAGG